AUACGGAGGAUGCAAGCGUUAUCCGGAUUUAUUGGGUUUAAAGGGUGCGUAGGCGGAUGAUUAAGCGUGAGGUGAAAUGCCACUGCUCAACAGUGGAACUGCCUCGCGAACUGGUUGUCUUGAAUGCUCCUGCCGUGGGAGGAAUGUGUGGUGUAGCGGUGAAAUGCAUAGAGAUCACACAGAACACCGAUUGCGAAGGCAUCUCACGAAGGGGUGAUUGACGCUGAGGCACGAAAGCGGGGGGAUCAAACAGGAUUAGAUACCCUGGUAGUCCACGCAGUAAACGAUGAUAACUAACCGCUGGGUCGUAGUGAUUCAGUGGCCAAGCGAAAGCGAUAAGUUAUCCACCUGGGGAGUACGACCGCAAGGUUGAAACUCAAAGGAAUUGACGGGG
RNAcentral lists this ribosomal RNA (394 nucleotides) under uncultured bacterium. RNAcentral's name for it is "partial 16S ribosomal RNA". It matches the Rfam family "Bacterial small subunit ribosomal RNA", at positions 523 to 918 of the family's 1533-position model. The record is from RNAcentral.